Molecule: long non-coding RNA, 269 nt
Organism: Bubalus bubalis (water buffalo)
Lineage: Eukaryota; Metazoa; Chordata; Mammalia; Artiodactyla; Bovidae
Exons: 3
Source: RefSeq, a predicted model, not a curated record
AUCAUUUUAUCUCUGAAGAGGAAACAGCUGUGCCUCUCUUGACAGCCAAGCUGGCUGCAGAAGACAGAAUGUUUGUUUUAAGAAGAGAACAAGUGAUGCUCCAUUCCUCUGUAAACUCAAAAGGGCACAUUACCAUCAUUCUCCUGACGUUAAAAGCUUUUCCACAAACUGUCACUGUCUUUCAACCACUGUGAUUUCCACUGCAAAAAUCCAAUAAGAGCUUCCCUGUGACUCAGACAGUAAAGAAUACACCUGCAAUGCUGGAGACC